CCAGUUUUCACAUAUUUUUUUUAUCGAUAUGUUUCUUUUUUCAUCGUUUCUGGCAAACAAAAACAGCUGACCUGGCUGCUUUGUAAAAAUACAGCGUGAUUAAAAUGCCUUUUAUUUUUUCAAUUGCAUGUUUUGAAGCAAAACGAUUGCAGAAAUUACGUGAUCUAAGAAGAUCUAGACAUCUUACAUAGAUGCAAACCUUGUGUAUUUAACAUGUCUGACGAACUAUUUGUGAAGUCAUUUCGGAUCGACAAAAAAACUUUCAAAAUGAUUUUGGAGAAAGUUCAACCCCAUUUAGGUGUUACCAGGAAGUUAUCUCCCUCUACGCAAUUGGCUUCAGUAAUGCGAUAUCUCGCCACUGGCUGCUACCAGUGGGCAGUUGCCAAAGACCACCAUAUAAACAUUGGACGCAGUACAUUUGGAAAGAUUCUUCACAAACUUAUUCCGUUGAUGGACAGGCUGGUAUGUGUUGAGUUCAUUUCGUUGCAGAUGAAUAAUCAUCAAUUGCAA
Molecule: long non-coding RNA, 510 nt
Organism: Drosophila miranda
Lineage: Eukaryota; Metazoa; Arthropoda; Insecta; Diptera; Drosophilidae
Exons: 2
Source: RefSeq, a predicted model, not a curated record